GAUGAACGCUGGCGGCGUGCCUAAUACAUGCAAGUCGAGCGAACAGACGAGGAGCUUGCUCCUCCGACGUUAGCGGCGGACGGGUGAGUAACACGUAGGUAACCUACCUAUAAGACUGGGAUAACUUCGGGAAACCGGAGCUAAUACCGGAUAAUAUUUCGAACCGCAUGGUUCGAUAGUGAAAGAUGGCUUUGCUAUCACUUAUAGAUGGACCUGCGCCGCAUUAGCUAGUUGGUAAGGUAACGGCUUACCAAGGCAACGAUACGUAGCCGACCUGAGAGGGUGAUCGGCCACACUGGAACUGAGACACGGUCCAGACUCCUACGGGAGGCAGCAGUAGGGAAUCUUCCGCAAUGGGCGAAAGCCUGACGGAGCAACGCCGCGUGAAUGAUGAAGGUCCUCGGAUCGUAAAACUCUGUUAUUAGGGAAGAACAAACGUGUAAGUAACUGUGCACGUCUUGACGGUACCUAAUCAGAAAGCCACGGCUAACUACGUG
Molecule: ribosomal RNA, 497 nt
Filed under: uncultured bacterium
Lineage: Bacteria
Description: partial 16S ribosomal RNA
Rfam family: Bacterial small subunit ribosomal RNA
Source: RNAcentral